Molecule: non-coding RNA, 1288 nt
Organism: Osmia lignaria (orchard mason bee)
Lineage: Eukaryota; Metazoa; Arthropoda; Insecta; Hymenoptera; Megachilidae
Source: RefSeq, a predicted model, not a curated record
UCUGACAAUCGGCCGAGAAGAGCAGUUAAUUCCGAAACCUGAUCUAUAACAUAUUUGAAGCUCACGGAAAUCUGUUCUUUUUAUUUUUUGGAAAACAAUAGGUAGCCUAUGACCUUCCUAAGGAUGCAAUCUAUCUCCUUGCCAAGUUUUAUCGAAAUCUGUUCAGCGGUUUAGGCGUGAAAAGGUAACAAACAGACAGACAGACAGACAGACAGAUAGACCGAGUUACUUUCGCAUUUAUAAUAUUAGUAUGGAUAUUAGAGCAAAGCAAAACUGUUGAGAGUGUGGUACAUUUCUAUAUAUUACGUUCUCAUAGAUUCGAAAAGUGCUGUCCUCAUUAAGAGAGCGGUUGUAUGGUACGUUAUUUUGUGUAUGGUGUCGUCGCAGUGGAAGCGUGCGUAGCGAAACAUAGCGAGACGCAGUUUAUAUUAUUAAGCACUGUAUUCUUAUCAAUAAUAAAUAUCGUAUUCUUAUCAAAAACAAUAUUGAAAACAUACAUAUUGAAGACCGUAGAACAGAUGUGAAGUAUUGCAAGAAUCACAAGAGUUUCACCAGCAGGAAGCAGAAGGAGAGUCGGAGGAGGACAAUAAAUCAAAGAAGAGAGAAAUAGCAAAAUACUAGUAAGUAUAAAAGUAGGAAAGUGUCAGCAGGAAUACAAAACCAACAUAAAAGGACUCGUUAAAAGGAACAAGUUAACCAAUUAAGAAGGUUUAAUUACAACUGUGAGGAAAGAAAAGAAAAGAAGAAGAAAAUGAAAAGGAAAAGGGACGAAAAGAACCAAGGAACACCACACUGUCAUGUCGUCAUGAGAGGGACAAUACGAUGCGAGCUAUGGCAAAAUGUUAAGAGAUCUUUUUUGUAGGAAAUUAAGUUUUCUACUAUUUAUGUUGUAUGAUAUUUUUUGAUCAGAUGCGUAGUUUUCGAGAUAUAUCGAGAUAUUUAAAAGAUCCGAAGCCGCACCAACAUAAUAAACAUACAGAAACACCGUGGCCCCUUCCUUUGAGAUAACUCUGCACUAUUCCGAACUGCAAAUGCCACUUCCAGCUUAGCUGUGCAGAAGAAGAACAACAAGAAGAAGAAAUAUCUCGAAAUAUGUCCGUCAGGCCUGUACAUUGAUACAUUGAUCUGUGGGUAGCAAUCAGUAUAUUACAUUAUAUCUAAUGUAGAUAUGAUAACAAUGACAUUGGUAUUACAUGUAGGUACAUUGAUCUGUGGGAAUGUAUCACUAUGACAUUAUAUCUAAUGUAGAUAUAGUGCUAAUGAUAUUGUUAUUAAAUGUACAUUGAUC